Molecule: ribosomal RNA, 500 nt
Filed under: Vibrio coralliilyticus
Lineage: Bacteria; Pseudomonadati; Pseudomonadota; Gammaproteobacteria; Vibrionales; Vibrionaceae
Description: bacterial SSU rRNA
Rfam family: Bacterial small subunit ribosomal RNA
Source: RNAcentral
AUUGUACGCUGGCGGCAGGCCUAACACAUGCAAGUCGAGCGGAAACGAGUUGUCUGAACCUUCGGGGAACGAUAACGGCGUCGAGCGGCGGACGGGUGAGUAAUGCCUGGGAAAUUGCCCUGAUGUGGGGGAUAACCAUUGGAAACGAUGGCUAAUACCGCAUAAUAGCUUCGGCUCAAAGAGGGGGACCUUCGGGCCUCUCGCGUCAGGAUAUGCCCAGGUGGGAUUAGCUAGUUGGUGAGGUAAUGGCUCACCAAGGCGACGAUCCCUAGCUGGUCUGAGAGGAUGAUCAGCCACACUGGAACUGAGACACGGUCCAGACUCCUACGGGAGGCAGCAGUGGGGAAUAUUGCACAAUGGGCGCAAGCCUGAUGCAGCCAUGCCGCGUGUAUGAAGAAGGCCUUCGGGUUGUAAAGUACUUUCAGCAGUGAGGAAGGUGGUAUGUGUUAAUAGCGCAUUCAUUUGACGUUAGCUGCAGAAGAAGCACCGGCUAACUCCGU